GCCGGCUUAGCUCAGUUGGUAGAGCAACUGAUUUGUAAUCAGUAGGUCGCGGGUUCGAUUCCUGCAGCCGGCACCA
Molecule: transfer RNA, 76 nt
Filed under: Sphingomonas sp.
Lineage: Bacteria; Pseudomonadati; Pseudomonadota; Alphaproteobacteria; Sphingomonadales; Sphingomonadaceae
Also listed under: 4 other names
Description: tRNA-Thr
Rfam family: tRNA
About the family: Transfer RNA (tRNA) molecules are approximately 80 nucleotides in length. Their secondary structure includes four short double-helical elements and three loops (D, anti-codon, and T loops).
Source: RNAcentral